GGCAAGGGAUGCCUAGUAACGGCGAGUGAAGCGGCAACAGCUCAAAUUUGAAAGCUAGCCUUCGGGUUCGCAUUGUAAUUUGUAGAGGAUGAUUUGGGGAAGCCGCCUGUCUAAGUUCCUUGGAACAGGACGUCAUAGAGGGUGAGAAUCCCGUAUGUGACAGGAAAUGGCACCCUAUGUAAAUCUCCUUCGACGAGUCGAGUUGUUUGGGAAUGCAGCUCUAAAUGGGAGGUAAAUUUCUUCUAAAGCUAAAUAUUGGCGAGAGACCGAUAGCGCACAAGUAGAGUGAUCGAAAGAUGAAAAGCACUUUGGAAAGAGAGUUAAAAAGCACGUGAAAUUGUUGAAAGGGAAGCGCUUGCAAUCAGACUUGUUUAAACUGUUCGGCCGGUCUUCUGACCGGUUUACUCAGUUUGGACAGGCCAGCAUCAGUUUCGGCGGCCGGAUAAAGGCUCUGGGAAUGUGGCCUCCACUUCGGUGGAGGUGUUAUAGCCCAGGGUGUAAUACGGCCAGCCGGGACUGAGGUCCGCGCUUCGGCUAGGAUGCUGGCGUAAUGGUUGUAAGCGACCCGUCUUGAAA
This 576-nucleotide ribosomal RNA is filed under the name Aureobasidium pullulans. Its description in RNAcentral is "partial large subunit ribosomal RNA". It matches the Rfam family "Eukaryotic large subunit ribosomal RNA", at positions 67 to 659 of the family's 3401-position model. The record is from RNAcentral. Lineage: Eukaryota; Fungi; Ascomycota; Dothideomycetes; Dothideales; Saccotheciaceae.